GACGUAGGAGGCGAGCGUUAUCCGGAUUCACUGGGCGUAAAGCGCAUGUAGGCGGCUGGAUCAGUCGUGUGUUAAAGCCCCCGGCUCAACUGGGGGAGGUCAUGCGAGACUAUUCGGCUUGAGGGCAGCAGAGGAGCGUGGAACUCCCGGUGUAGCGGUGGAAUGCGUAGAUAUCGUGAGGAACACCAGUGGCGAAGGCGGCUUCCUGGCCUGUUCUUGACGCUGAGGCGCGAAAGCUAGGGGAGCAAACGGG
Molecule: ribosomal RNA, 253 nt
Filed under: uncultured bacterium
Lineage: Bacteria
Description: partial 16S ribosomal RNA
Rfam family: Bacterial small subunit ribosomal RNA
Source: RNAcentral